GCUAUUAAAAAGCACCCAGGUGUACUGGCAAAUUGACAAAGCACUCUGUGCAUAACCACGAAAAACACAUUUUCUUAAAGACCCGAGAAGACCCUCAUUUUCAGCACUGGCUGACCUUCAGGCUCAGCUCAGCAGAAAGUGAAGACUGAAGCAGAGUUUUCAACAGUCUGCGUAUGUGUUAAAGGAACACCCCAGCCCAGAGUCAUCCACAAAAACUGGAAGAAUCCAUCAGUUUGUCUUUGUCUCAGUUUUGUCAUAUAGACCUUUGUGACACACAGAUCUAUAUACAAUGAAAACUACAAAUUUCUAAUGAAAGAACCACAAAAGAUCACAAAAGAUCUUAAUAAAUAGAAAGACAUUUAAUGUCCAUGAACAU
This 376-nucleotide long non-coding RNA is filed under the name Pongo abelii (Sumatran orangutan). RNAcentral's name for it is "lincRNA". The record is from RNAcentral. Lineage: Eukaryota; Metazoa; Chordata; Mammalia; Primates; Hominidae.